UUCGUUCCAUGCACGAAGCAGUUGCGCUCGACUUUCAUAAUAAUUGUCGGGGGUUCUCUCUUUGCACUGCCACUUCUUCUGCAAAAUAAAACCGAAGAAAACAAACUGGCACGAAAUAUGAAAUAAUGCUAUUAUACACAAAUCAAACAAUUAAUCAUUCAAUCUACAUCAUAGGGAUAAAAUAAUUUUCAACUACGCAGACAGCAUAUCACUUUUGUUCAUAAGUAUUAACUUUUUGGGCAUUUUUUUAAUCAUUGAUGAGGUAGUUUUAAGCAAUAUUCCAUUUUCAGAGAUCAAUUGCAUCUCAUAUUGUAUACAACUGUUGCCUUUAUUGUAUAGUGAACCUCAAAUAAACGAUACUGCAGCUUCGGGUCUAUAAUUAAUGUUCUUUUGGUAAUACACACCAAUUGCAAAGGGGGAAAUAGAGGUUUUCGCAACAUUGAUGUUUUCGGCUUUUACGCCAAACUAAUGAAUUACAAAGAACUACAUAUUGUAGCUUUAUUUGUUUACAUAUAUACGGUAUAUGCCACAGAAUGUUUCGAUAAGGAUGAG
This 552-nucleotide long non-coding RNA is filed under the name Mytilus galloprovincialis (Mediterranean mussel). The record is from RNAcentral. Lineage: Eukaryota; Metazoa; Mollusca; Bivalvia; Mytilida; Mytilidae.